GAUGAACGCUGGCGGCGUGCCUAAUACAUGCAAGUCGAACGCACAGCGAAAGGUGCUUGCACCUUUCAAGUGAGUGGCGAACGGGUGAGUAACACGUGGACAACCUGCCUCAAGGCUGGGGAUAACAUUUGGAAACAGAUGCUAAUACCGAAUAAAACUCAGUGUCGCAUGACACAAGGUUAAAAGGCGCUUUGGCGUCACCUAGAGAUGGAUCCGCGGCG
RNAcentral lists this ribosomal RNA (221 nucleotides) under uncultured bacterium. RNAcentral's name for it is "partial 16S ribosomal RNA". It matches the Rfam family "Bacterial small subunit ribosomal RNA", at positions 28 to 238 of the family's 1533-position model. The record is from RNAcentral.